RNAcentral lists this ribosomal RNA (253 nucleotides) under uncultured bacterium. RNAcentral describes it as "partial 16S ribosomal RNA". It matches the Rfam family "Bacterial small subunit ribosomal RNA", at positions 524 to 776 of the family's 1533-position model. The record is from RNAcentral.
UACAGAGGGUGCGAGCGUUAAUCGGAAUUACUGGGCGUAAAGCGCACGUAGGCGGCUUUGCAAGUCGGUUGUGAAAUCCCCGGGCUCAACCUGGGAACUGCAUCCGAGACUGCAUUGCUAGAGUAUGGGAGAGGGAAGCGGAAUUUCUGGUGUAGCAGUGAAAUGCGUAGAUAUCAGAAGGAACAUCAGUGGCGAAGGCGGCUUCCUGGACCAAUACUGACGAUCAGGUGCGAAAGCGUGGGGAGCAAACAGG